GGGUCGCUAGCUCAAUUGGCAGAGCUCCGGACUUUUAAUCCGUAGGUUGUGGGUUCGAGUCCCACGCGACCCACCC
Molecule: transfer RNA, 76 nt
Filed under: Actinomadura madurae
Lineage: Bacteria; Bacillati; Actinomycetota; Actinomycetes; Streptosporangiales; Thermomonosporaceae
Description: tRNA_Lys_TTT
Rfam family: tRNA
About the family: Transfer RNA (tRNA) molecules are approximately 80 nucleotides in length. Their secondary structure includes four short double-helical elements and three loops (D, anti-codon, and T loops). Further hydrogen bonds mediate the characteristic L-shaped molecular structure. tRNAs have two regions of fundamental functional importance: the anti-codon, which is responsible for specific mRNA codon recognition, and the 3' end, to which the tRNAs corresponding amino acid is attached (by aminoacyl-tRNA synthetases). tRNAs cope with the degeneracy of the genetic code in two manners: having more than one tRNA (with a specific anti-codon) for a particular amino acid; and 'wobble' base-pairing, i.e. permitting non-standard base-pairing at the 3rd anti-codon position.
Source: RNAcentral